Molecule: long non-coding RNA, 230 nt
Filed under: Brassica napus (rape)
Lineage: Eukaryota; Viridiplantae; Streptophyta; Magnoliopsida; Brassicales; Brassicaceae
Description: long non-coding RNA (BNAP_LNC005035)
Source: RNAcentral
UGAAAGUUUGAUGCUUAAGUUGAGAAUAGGUCACAGUAGUCCGUCUAAGAAACUAAAAUUUCAGAGAAACGAAGAAAUAUCAUGGUAGAAUUUGGCUUGCCUUGAUUCUUCAUCGUCAUCCUUGCCUUUAUCAUCUUAAACCUGUUCCCCUGGAACUCUUAAACUCUCUAAGACAAAAGAUUUUUCUCGAUGACAUCAAAGCUUCAGAUGCUCUGCCUCCACUCGAUCGA